GGAUUGUGCGGCUUAAUUUGACUCAACGCGGGGUAAUUUACCAGAUAUAACAUGAUAUAAUAUUUUAUCAUGAUAGUGGUGCAUGGCCGUUUCCAAUGGAUGCUGUGAAGUAAUGAUUAAUUUCAACAAGAUGUGAGACCCUCAUUUAGACAGAUGUAGUGAAUACAUAUGAAGGAGAGGAUUAACACGUUGGGGCCGGCGUGAGCCACCGGUGGUUCACACUAAAC
RNAcentral lists this non-coding RNA (227 nucleotides) under Nosema bombycis CQ1. RNAcentral describes it as "Microsporidia small subunit ribosomal RNA". It matches the Rfam family "Microsporidia small subunit ribosomal RNA", at positions 812 to 1057 of the family's 1311-position model. The record is from Rfam by way of RNAcentral. Lineage: Eukaryota; Fungi; Microsporidia; Nosematidae.